RNAcentral lists this ribosomal RNA (431 nucleotides) under uncultured bacterium. RNAcentral's name for it is "partial 16S ribosomal RNA". It matches the Rfam family "Bacterial small subunit ribosomal RNA", at positions 338 to 795 of the family's 1533-position model. The record is from RNAcentral.
CCUACGGGUGGCAGCAGUGAGGAAUUUUGGACAAUGGGGGAAACCCUGAUCCAGCGACGCCGCGUGAGGGAUGAAGGUCUUCGGAUUGUAAACCUCUUUUGCCUGGGAAUAAUAGGGCGAUGAUAAGCCACGGCUAACUUCGUGCCAGCAGCCGCGGUAAUACGAAGGUGGCAAGCGUUACUCGGAAUUACUAGGCGUAAAGGGCAGGUAGGUGGUUUGGUUAGUCUGUUGUGAAAGCUCCUUGCUUAACGGGGAGAGGCCAACAGAUACUGCCAGACUUGAGUAUGGGAGAGGUUACUGGAAUUCCCGGUGUAGCGGUGAAAUGCGCAGAGAUCGGGAGGAACACCAAUGGCGAAAGCAGGUAACUGGACCAUACUGACACUCAGCUGCGAAAGCUAGGGGAGCAAACAGGAUUAGAUACCCUUGUAGUC